Molecule: microRNA precursor, 82 nt
Filed under: Ovis aries (sheep)
Lineage: Eukaryota; Metazoa; Chordata; Mammalia; Artiodactyla; Bovidae
Description: miRNA (ENSOARG00000022339.1)
Source: RNAcentral
AUUGGUUUGGCCAAAAAGUUCAUUUGGGUUUUUCCAUACUAUCUUAAAAGAAAACUCAAAGGAACUUUUUGGCCAAACAAAU